Molecule: transfer RNA, 72 nt
Filed under: Camelus ferus (Wild Bactrian camel)
Lineage: Eukaryota; Metazoa; Chordata; Mammalia; Artiodactyla; Camelidae
Rfam family: tRNA
About the family: Transfer RNA (tRNA) molecules are approximately 80 nucleotides in length. Their secondary structure includes four short double-helical elements and three loops (D, anti-codon, and T loops). Further hydrogen bonds mediate the characteristic L-shaped molecular structure. tRNAs have two regions of fundamental functional importance: the anti-codon, which is responsible for specific mRNA codon recognition, and the 3' end, to which the tRNAs corresponding amino acid is attached (by aminoacyl-tRNA synthetases). tRNAs cope with the degeneracy of the genetic code in two manners: having more than one tRNA (with a specific anti-codon) for a particular amino acid; and 'wobble' base-pairing, i.e. permitting non-standard base-pairing at the 3rd anti-codon position.
Source: Rfam by way of RNAcentral
GUGGGUGUAGCUCAGUGGUAGAACAUGUGCUUAGCAUGCACAAGGUCCCAGGUACAAGCCCUGGUACCUCCA